This is a long non-coding RNA of Oreochromis aureus, 1249 nucleotides long. The record is from Ensembl. Lineage: Eukaryota; Metazoa; Chordata; Actinopteri; Cichliformes; Cichlidae.
AAGAAAAGAGAGGAUGUCUGUUCCCUCUCCUCUUAAACAGCCUCAUAACUCUGGACCAAUAACAAGUGAUCUUGGAACUUUUAAGCAGUACAGAAAAUACACUGAUGGACAGACAUAUGUUUCUUGCUCCAUGGGAGAUAACUGUUUCAAUGUAGGGGGGAAAAUUCUUAUUGUGGCAAACAUUUUACAGGAUUGCCAAGUUGUCAAAGCACUGUGUCAGGUCUUUGAAAACUGUAAUGCCUUUUUCAGCUAUCCAUUGGACUCAACAUGCCUUGGAAUUUACUUUGUUUCAAAUCUGUCUAAACAAAUGCAUCUUGUAUUACUUGAUGAAUUAAAACAGAAAAUUGUGCUUUUGCCACUGAAGUCUGGAUAUGUGGCAUUGCCACUGCUGUACUAGUUGGCUUCUUUUUGCUUUCUCCCCAGCAUGCUACCAUUUGCAGUUGUUGAUUUUCUGGAUGGUGGAGGUGUAUCCAUAAUUCCUUGCAAGUGGUUUACAGGACCAGCGGAAGAUUCUUGUUUCUGGCCACCAGGGAGAGUCAAUAUCAAUAAGGCUGUAAAGGAUGGAGUUACUCCAGAUGCAAACUGGUCACAGUACAGAGUUCGCAUCUUGGGGAAAGCUGAAAAAUACGAAAAUGCCAGGGUGAAACUGCGGAGGUCUGAAGCAACCUCUGAUCUGCAGACUGAGUCGGAUUCUGGAAGCAGAUUGGGAAAAGGGAAGCGGAAAAGGAGGCCAGUGAUCCAGUCAAGCUCAGAUGAGGAUUGGGACAACGCUGCGGAACAGCCAGAGAACUCAUCACCAUCAGCAAUGGAGAAUAGACAUUCAAGUGAAACUCCCCACCAGAACAUCACUCAUCCAUUUGUUCGGCUACCACCACCCUCAACUCCUUCACAAGCAGUUCCAAGACAACUUGUACAAGCCACCAAUACCAGCAUGUUUGUACAUGUUCUCUCUGGUUUGCAGCAUACUUGAAGACGUAGGAGGUCAAACAACCUGAUCAGCCCCACCUUCAAAACAACUCCAGUAGUAUUUCAAAUCUGAUGUUAUUUGUGAAAAAAUGCACUUUUUUUCCAAGACCAAUGGAUCAGUAAAUGAGUGAGAAGCUGUGUUUCAGUGCAUUUUGUUUUCUUUUAAACUGUAUAACAUUGAUUUGCUAUUGUUUUGUGUAUACUAGGGACCUUUUUUGUCAACUUGUUCUCUAAACAAAAAAAUUAUUUGUAUAGUAUAUUAAUCAGUAUUGUAAAAUAAAAA